GGACGAACGCUGGCGGCGUGCUUAACACAUGCAAGUCGAACGGAAAGGCCCUGCUUUUGUGGGGUGCUCGAGUGGCGAACGGGUGAGUAACACGUGAGUAACCUGCCCUUGACUUUGGGAUAACUUCAGGAAACUGGGGCUAAUACCGGAUAGGAGCUCCUGCUGCAUGGUGGGGGUUGGAAAGUUUCGGCGGUUGGGGAUGGACUCGCGGCUUAUCAGCUUGUUGGUGGGGUAGUGGCUUACCAAGGCUUUGACAGGUAGCCGGCCUGAGAGGGUGACCGGCCACAUUGGGACUGAGAUACGGCCCAGACUCCUACGGGAGGCAGCAGUGGGGAAUAUUGCACAAUGGGCGGAAGCCUGAUGCAGCAACGCCGCGUGCGGGAUGACGGCCUUCGGGUUGUAAACCGCUUUCGCCUGUGACGAAGCGUGAGUGACGGUAAUGGGUAAAGAAGCACCGGCUAACUACGUG
Molecule: ribosomal RNA, 469 nt
Filed under: uncultured bacterium
Lineage: Bacteria
Description: partial 16S ribosomal RNA
Rfam family: Bacterial small subunit ribosomal RNA
Source: RNAcentral